Molecule: small nucleolar RNA, 207 nt
Organism: Erinaceus europaeus (western European hedgehog)
Lineage: Eukaryota; Metazoa; Chordata; Mammalia; Eulipotyphla; Erinaceidae
Gene: SNORA73
Rfam family: Small nucleolar RNA SNORA73 family
About the family: U17 (SNORA73A and SNORA73B) also known as E1 belongs to the H/ACA class of small nucleolar RNAs (snoRNAs). Vertebrate U17 is intron-encoded and ranges in length from 200-230 nucleotides, longer than most snoRNAs.
Source: Ensembl
CCAACAUGGAUACCCCUGGGAAGUCACUCUCCCCAGGCUCUGUGCAGGUGGCAAACAGUAGCACAGGGCUCUGCCCAAUUAUCUACAGUCCCUUUUUACAGUGUUGGAGAUAAAGCUGAGCCACUGAGUUUGUGCCUGCAUAUUCUUACAGCAUCCCAGAAUUCCACGGACCCAUAACUAUGAAAACAAACCAUGAACAAAACAGUU